This 67-nucleotide transfer RNA is filed under the name Leptestheria brevirostris. RNAcentral's name for it is "tRNA-Tyr". It matches the Rfam family "tRNA". From Rfam's summary of the family: Transfer RNA (tRNA) molecules are approximately 80 nucleotides in length. Their secondary structure includes four short double-helical elements and three loops (D, anti-codon, and T loops). Lineage: Eukaryota; Metazoa; Arthropoda; Branchiopoda; Diplostraca; Leptestheriidae. The record is from RNAcentral.
GAUGUAGUGGCUGAGCCUAUAGGCAUUAGACUGUAAAUCUAAGAACAAGGGAAUCCCUUCUUCAUCA